AACGUAGGUUCCGAGCGUUAUCCGGAAUUACUGGGCGUAAAGGGCGCGUAGGCGGCCCGCUAAGUCGAACGUGAAAUCCCCGAGCUCAACUCGGGAACUGCGUCCGAUACUGGUGGGCUUGAAUCCGGUAGAGGGAUGCGGAAUUCCAGGUGUAGCGGUGAAAUGCGUAGAUAUCUGGAGGAACACCGGUGGCGAAGGCGGCAUCCUGGACCGGCAUUGACGCUGAGGCGCGAAAGCUAGGGGAGCAAACGGG
This 253-nucleotide ribosomal RNA is filed under the name uncultured bacterium. RNAcentral's name for it is "partial 16S ribosomal RNA". It matches the Rfam family "Bacterial small subunit ribosomal RNA", at positions 524 to 776 of the family's 1533-position model. The record is from RNAcentral.